UACAGAGGUCUCAAGCGUUGUUCGGAUUCAUUGGGCGUAAAGGGUGCGUAGGCGGCGCGGUAAGUCGGAUGUGAAAUCUCGGAGCUUAACUUCGAAACUGCAUUCGAUACUGCCGUGCUUGAGGACUGGAGAGGAGACUGGAAUUUACGGUGUAGCGGUGAAAUGCGUAGAUAUCAGGAGGAACACCGGUGGCGAAGGCGGGUCUCUGGGCCGAUAUUGACGCUGAGGAGCGAAAGCGUGGGGAGCGAACAGG
Molecule: ribosomal RNA, 253 nt
Filed under: uncultured bacterium
Lineage: Bacteria
Description: partial 16S ribosomal RNA
Rfam family: Bacterial small subunit ribosomal RNA
Source: RNAcentral